Molecule: ribosomal RNA, 468 nt
Filed under: uncultured bacterium
Lineage: Bacteria
Description: partial 16S ribosomal RNA
Rfam family: Bacterial small subunit ribosomal RNA
Source: RNAcentral
GACGAACGCUGGCGGCGUGCUUAACACAUGCAAGUCGAACGGAAAGGCCCUGCUUUUGUGGGGUGCUCGAGUGGCGAACGGGUGAGUAACACGUGAGUAACCUGCCCUUGACUUUGGGAUAACUUCAGGAAACUGGGGCUAAUACCGGAUAGGAGCUCCUGCUGCAUGGUGGGGGUUGGAAAGUUUCGGCGGUUGGGGAUGGACUCGCGGCUUAUCAGCUUGUUGGUGGGGUAGUGGCUUACCAAGGCUUUGACGGGUAGCCGGCCUGAGAGGGUGACCGGCCACAUUGGGACUGGGGUACGGCCCAGACUCCUACGGGAGGCAGCAGUGGGGAAUAUUGCACAAUGGGCGGAAGCCUGAUGCAGCAACGCCGCGUGCGGGAUGACGGCCUUCGGGUUGUAAACCGCUUUCGCCUGGGACGAAGCGUGAGUGACGGUAAUGGGUAAAGAAGCACCGGCUAACUACGUG